Long non-coding RNA from Ostrinia nubilalis (European corn borer), 525 nucleotides. RefSeq lists it as uncharacterized. The transcript is spliced from 3 exons. The record is from RefSeq and is a predicted model, not a curated record. Lineage: Eukaryota; Metazoa; Arthropoda; Insecta; Lepidoptera; Crambidae.
CAGCAGCUGUCAGACGUGUUUGCGUACAACUGGAGGACCGUGAUACUUUUUGUUUUCCUCUCCUUGUGCUAAUUUCGUUUAUCCAUUACAAUGUAUUGUGCACUGCAAAAACAAUAAUUCAUUCUUAAACAAAACAUUCCACUGGAAUGCGUUCGGAAAGUUCUUGUGAAAUUGUGUCGAAAGUACAAGUGUAAUUCAAGGAGUUUUUAAUUUAAUUAGUUUUCAUAUUCAUUGGUUAAAUCGCAUGGUGACGUCAUGGCAGGCGGCGGCGCGUGGUCGCGGCGCGUGGCGGGUCGCGCGCGCACGCUACGGGGGCUGGUGCGCGACACGCAACGCGCGUUGCACGACGUGGCAGACAUCCUGCACUAUGAUCCAGAAAUCCUAACAGCAGUGCAAGAGAUCGGGCAGCUCUCCAGCCGGUUGACAGCGCUGGUAGUGCUCGGAACAACAGCAGAGGCGCGGGCGCGGCUGCUGCACUGCUUGCUGGGCAGACGACUGCUGCCGGAUCGACCCCCCAUUGGAUGC